RNAcentral lists this ribosomal RNA (484 nucleotides) under uncultured bacterium. RNAcentral describes it as "partial 16S ribosomal RNA". It matches the Rfam family "Bacterial small subunit ribosomal RNA", at positions 30 to 507 of the family's 1533-position model. The record is from RNAcentral.
AGUGAACGCUGGCGGCAGGCCUAACACAUGCAAGUCGAGCGGCAGCGCGGGGGCAACCCUGGCGGCGAGCGGCGGACGGGUGAGGAAUUCGUCGGAAUCUGCCUUUUUGUGGGGGAUAACGUAGGGAAACUUACUCUAAUACCGCAUACGUCCUACGGGAGAAAUUGGGUGACCGCAAGGCCUCACGCCUAAAGAUGAGCCGACGACCGAUUAGCUAGUUGGUGGGGUAAAGGCCCACCAAGGCGACGAUCGGUAGCUGGUCUGAGAGGAAGAUCAGCCACACGGGGAGUGAGAAAGGGCCAAGACACCUACGGGAGGAAGCGGUGGGGAAUAUUGGACAAUGGGGGAAAGCCGGAUACAGCCAUGCCGCGUGUGUGAAGAAGGCCUUCGGGUUGUAAAGCACUUUUGUCCGGAAAGAAAUCCCUGGAGCUAAUACCGUCGGGGGAUGACGGUACCGGAAGAAUAAGCACCGGCUAACUUCGUG